AUUGAACGCUUGCGGCAGGCUUAACACAUGCAAGUCGAGCGGGGUGAUGGUGCUUGCACUAUCACUUAGCGGCGGACGGGUGAGUAAUGCUUAGGAAUCUGCCUAUUAGUGGGGGACAACAUCUCGAAAGGGAUGCUAAUACCGCAUACGUCCUACGGGAGAAAGCAGGGGAUCACUUGUGACCUUGCGCUAAUAGAUGAGCCUAAGGCGGAUUAGCUAGUUGGUGGGGUAAAGGCCUACCAAGGCGACGAUCUGUAGCGGGUCUGAGAGGAUGAUCCGCCACACUGGGACUGGGACACGGCCCAGGAUCCUACGGGAGGCAGCAGUGGGGAAGAUUGGACAAUGGGGGGAACCCUGAUCCAGCCAUGCCGCGGGUGUGAAGAAGGCCUUAUGGUUGUAAAGCACUUUAAGCGAGGAGGAGGCUCUUUUGGUUAAUACCCAAGAUGAGUGGACGUUACUCGCAGAAUAAGCACUGGCUAACUCUGUGCCAGCCGCCGCCGCGG
Molecule: ribosomal RNA, 503 nt
Filed under: uncultured bacterium
Lineage: Bacteria
Description: partial 16S ribosomal RNA
Rfam family: Bacterial small subunit ribosomal RNA
Source: RNAcentral